CCUACGGGAGGCAGCAGUAGGGAAUAUUGCUCAAUGGGGGAAACCCUGAAGCAGCAACGCCGCGUGGAGGAUGAAGGUUUUCGGAUUGUAAACUCCUGUUGUUAGAGAAGAUAAUGACGGUAUCUAACGAAUAAGCACCGGCUAACUCCGUGCCAGCAGCCGCGGUAAUACGGAGGGUGCAAGCGUUAGUCGGAAUCACUGGGCGGAAAGAGCGCGUAGGCGGGAUAGCAAGUCAGAUGUGAAAUCCUAUGGCUUAACCAUAGAACUGCAUUUGAAACUGUUAUUCUAGAGUAUGGGAGAGGUAGGUGGAAUUCUUGGUGUAGGGGUAAAAUCCGUAGAGAUCAAGAGGAAUACUCAUUGCGAAGGCGACCUGCUAGAACAUAACUGACGCUGAUGCGCGAAAGCGUGGGGAGCAAACAGGAUUAGAUACCCGAGUAGUC
This 440-nucleotide ribosomal RNA is filed under the name uncultured bacterium. RNAcentral describes it as "partial 16S ribosomal RNA". It matches the Rfam family "Bacterial small subunit ribosomal RNA", at positions 338 to 795 of the family's 1533-position model. The record is from RNAcentral.